Molecule: ribosomal RNA, 401 nt
Filed under: Chryseobacterium sp. B2-602-3
Lineage: Bacteria; Pseudomonadati; Bacteroidota; Flavobacteriia; Flavobacteriales; Weeksellaceae
Also listed under: 1 other name
Description: bacterial SSU rRNA
Rfam family: Bacterial small subunit ribosomal RNA
Source: RNAcentral
ACKUGGUGCGGGAUAGCCUUUCGAAAGGAAUCUUAAUACCCCAUAAUAUUUUGAAUGGCAUCAUUUGGAAAUUGAAAACUCCGGUGGGAUAGAGAUGGGCACGCGCAAGAUUAGAUAGUUGGGUGAGGUAACGGCUCACCAAGUCUGCGAUCUUUAGGGGGCCUGAGAGGGUGAUCCCCCACACUGGUACUGAGACACGGACCAGACUCCUACGGGAGGCAGCAGUGAGGAAUAUUGGACAAUGGGUGAGAGCCUGAUCCAGCCAUCCCGCGUGAAGGACGACGGCCCUAUGGGUUGUAAACUUCUUUUGUAUAGGGAUAAACCUUUCCACGUGUGGGAAGCUGAAGGUACUAUACGAAUAAGCACCGGCUAACUCCGUGCCAGCCGCCGCGGUAAUACAA